UACAGAGGUCCCGAGCGUUGUUCGGAUUCACUGGGCGUAAAGGGUGCGUAGGUGGCGGGGCAAGUUUGAUGUGAAAUCUCCGGGCUCAACCCGGAAAAUGCAUUGAAUACUGCCUUGCUGGAGGUUUGGAGGGGGGACUGGAAUUCUUGGUGUAGCAGUGAAAUGCGUAGAUAUCAAGAGGAACACCAGUGGCGAAGGCGAGUCCCUGGACAACACCUGACACUGAGGCACGAAAGCCGGGGGAGCAAACAGG
This 253-nucleotide ribosomal RNA is filed under the name uncultured bacterium. RNAcentral describes it as "partial 16S ribosomal RNA". It matches the Rfam family "Bacterial small subunit ribosomal RNA", at positions 524 to 776 of the family's 1533-position model. The record is from RNAcentral.